Nomascus leucogenys (northern white-cheeked gibbon) is the source of this 1828-nucleotide long non-coding RNA. RefSeq lists it as uncharacterized. The record is from RefSeq and is a predicted model, not a curated record. The transcript is spliced from 2 exons. NCBI's taxonomy places the organism in Eukaryota, Metazoa, Chordata, Mammalia, Primates, Hylobatidae.
AACAGGGUCUCGCUCCAUUGACCAGGCUGGAGUGCAGUGGCGUGAUCUUGGCUCACUGCAACCUCCACUUCCCAAGCUCAGGUUCAUGAGCCACACAUCUCCCCACACCAAGCUCCUCAAUACAAGACCUCGGACUGCAUCACAUAAAUGCUUUUUCAGGGGCAAAGUCUAGAGAAUCUGAAACGGUGAGCCUUUUUUUUUGAGAUGAAGUCUCACUCUGUUGCCCAGGCUGGAGUGCAGUGGUGUGAUCUUGGCUCACUGCAACCUCCACCUACUGGGGUCAAGUGAUUCUCCUGCCUCAGCCUUCAGAGUAGCUGGGAUUAUAGGUGCCCAUCCCCAUGCCCAGUUAAUUUUUUUGUAUUUUUAGUAGAGACGGGGUUUCACCAUGUUGGCCAGGCUGGUCUCGAACUCCUGAGCCCAAGUGAUCCACCCACCUUGGCCUCCCAAAGUGCUGGGAUUACAGCAUGAGCCACUGUGCCCAGCUGUGAGCCUGUAUCUUAAUCAAAGUCCUGAGAAUAACCUUGAAGAAGACUCCCUUGCAAUGAGGAAAAACCAAAGAAGCAAGGGACCUGGAAUCUGGCAGACCCGGGUUUGAAUUCUGGCUCUGUCACUUUCUGGUGAAGUGACUUGAGUAAUGAACAUGAGCCUUUCUGGGUAGCGUUUACAGCACAAAGCAAUUUGAGGAAUAAAUGAAAGAGCACGUGUCUAGUGCCUAGCAGUGCACUGGAAACAGUGCCGGUGCUCAGCCGUCAUGUCACACCAGCACUGACCGGUGAGCAUAAACCCUGGGGAUGCCCAGAGCUGGUACAGCCAGGAGCUCCAGAAGCAUGGGAUUCUCAGAGGGAAAUGGAGCUCACUGCUGUACAGGUCCUGUUCAAGUUAGAAAGUAAGAUACAAUGCACACAAAGCCAAACUGUCAUCAUUCAGCUCCUAUUACAGGGGAACUAAGAGCUGCGUUGAAAAUUACUUGCAAAGCUUGUAAGUGGUUCUGCCACUUAUUGGCCAUGUGAACCUUAGCAAAUUACCUAGCGUCUCUGAGUUUCAACUUCCUCAUCUGCAAAAUAGAAAUGAUAAUAAUAACCGCAUCGCAAGAGUUGUUGGAAAAAUGAAAAUGAGAUAUCACAGGAGGUAACAUGUAUGGAGCAUUUACCAUAUGCCAAGCAGUGUUCUAAGAACUUCGGACAUGUUAUCUCACUUGUAUAAGUACUUAGGUGCCUACAACAUAAACAGCACCUAGUAAAUUAAGUAUUGAAAAAAUGCUUUGGGGCAGAGGAAGAAAUGCUAAGCUUCUGUGAGAAGAGAAGACAGCUUGUUACACAGGUGAAAAGAAUAAGCGGCAGCUGAGAGAAGAAAAGUAUGAGUUGCUAGGUGUGACAAUCUCAAGACUUUUCAACCAUUACAAAUUUAAACAGCCACCCUAAAUCACCCCAAAGGACAGACCCGAGUUGUUCUUUUUGUCUUUAAUGUUUGUGCCUCUCCGAAUCAGAGAAGAAGCUGCCAGGAUUCCAGUACAUACCAAAACAUGACAAUACCCCUCAACUGCGCAAACUUUUGUGCAUCCACCGCUACGUAAAGGAAGCCGAAGUCAGUAGACCGGGGGGAACAGUAAGGCAUAUUUGUGACUGAAGCUCAAUUUGCCAUCACAGUGUGGCCACACCUGCCUCACUAAUAUCCUAAUAGUGGGAUAAAUAAUUCAAUAGGGAUAAAGCCUGGAUUUUCCUCUUCUUCUCUCUUAGUGCUUACAUUCUUGGCACGGUAUCGAUGUGCCAUAGACAAGCCAAUAUGUGAGUGUGCUCUCUCUGAAUAAAGUACAGCCUUUCUACAUUGC